GGCUUCGUUGUCGAGUGGUAAGGAUACUUGCCUCACAGCCUGGAGUCCUGGGUUCAAUUCCCGGUCGAGGAGCUA
Non-coding RNA from Rhamnusium bicolor, 75 nucleotides. The record is from the annotation of a GenBank genome assembly. NCBI's taxonomy places the organism in Eukaryota, Metazoa, Arthropoda, Insecta, Coleoptera, Cerambycidae.